CAAUCCCAUCAGCAACCAGACAACACAUCUGGACAUCACUCAACUCUGUCACACAUGUUCAGUUCCUCCAGUCUCUGUAUCUCUGAUAGUGCUGAUCUCUGCUGCUGCUGGAUCUCUGUUGAUUAUAGCUGCAGUCGGGAUCUUCUGCAUCUGCAGGAAAUGUCAGACAAAAAGGAAAGACAGGACUCAUUCAGGACUGUUUAAA
Long non-coding RNA from Cyprinus carpio (common carp), 205 nucleotides. RefSeq lists it as uncharacterized. The record is from RefSeq and is a predicted model, not a curated record. The transcript has 3 exons. NCBI's taxonomy places the organism in Eukaryota, Metazoa, Chordata, Actinopteri, Cypriniformes, Cyprinidae.